CAGAGUAGGAUCCCUCGCGUGAAGUGCUGCCAUAAUGGGGAGUUGUCUGGCAGACGAAGGACAUCCCGUCCGCGAUGAGGUAUCCGCACCCGCUGC
This 96-nucleotide non-coding RNA is filed under the name uncultured Faecousia sp. Its description in RNAcentral is "THF riboswitch". It matches the Rfam family "THF (Tetrahydrofolate) riboswitch aptamer". Rfam says of the family: THF riboswitch presents a pseudoknot that joins P1-P2 and the loop of P3 and two THF binding. The record is from RNAcentral. Lineage: Bacteria; Bacillati; Bacillota; Clostridia; Eubacteriales; Oscillospiraceae.